AGGGAAUCUUCCGCAAUGGACGAAAGUCUGACGGAGCAACGCCGCGUGAGUGAUGAAGGUUUUCGGAUUGUAAAGCUCUGUUGCCAGGGAAGAACGUCCUGUAGAGUAACUGCUACAGGAGUGACGGUACCUGAGAAGAAAGCCCCGGCUAACUACGUGCCAGCAGCCGCGGUAAUACGUAGGGGGCAAGCGUUGUCCGGAAUUAUUGGGCGUAAAGCGCGCGCAGGCGGCUGUUUAAGUCUGGUGUUUAAUCCUGGGGCUCAACCCUGGGUCGCACUGGAAACUGGACGGCUUGAGUGCAGAAGAGGAGAGUGGAAUUCCACGUGUAGCGGUGAAAUGCGUAGAGAUGUGGAGGAACACCAGUGGCGAAGGCGGUUCUCUGGACUGUAACUGACGCUGAGGCACGAAAGCGUGGGUAGCAAAC
Molecule: ribosomal RNA, 424 nt
Filed under: uncultured bacterium
Lineage: Bacteria
Description: bacterial SSU rRNA
Rfam family: Bacterial small subunit ribosomal RNA
Source: RNAcentral